GACGAACGCUGGCGGCGUGCCUAACACAUGCAAGUCGAACGAAGAAUGUUUUUCGGAAUAUUCUUAGUGGCGGACGGGUGAGUAACGCGUGAACAAUCUGCCCCGUACAAAGGGAUAGCCUCGGGAAACCGGGAUUAAAACCAUAUAACGCUUAACUGCCGCAUGGUAGUGAAGUCAAAUCGAUUAAGAGGUAUGGGAUGAGUUCGCGUCUGAUUAGCUAGUUGGUGAGGUAAGGGCUCACCAAGGCGACGAUCAGUAGCCGGCCUGAGGAGGGUGAACGGCCACACUGGAACUGAGACACGGUCCAGACUCCUACGGGAGGCAGCAGUGGGGAAUAUUGCACAAUGGAGGGAACUCUGAUGCAGCGACGCCGCGUGAGUGAAGAAGGUCUUCGGAUCGUAAAACUCUGUCCUUGGUGAAGAAAGGACGGUAGCCAAGGAGGAAGCCCCGGCUAACUACGUG
RNAcentral lists this ribosomal RNA (462 nucleotides) under uncultured bacterium. RNAcentral's name for it is "bacterial SSU rRNA". It matches the Rfam family "Bacterial small subunit ribosomal RNA", at positions 28 to 507 of the family's 1533-position model. The record is from RNAcentral.